This is a non-coding RNA of Labeo rohita (rohu), 794 nucleotides long. The record is from the annotation of a RefSeq genome assembly. Lineage: Eukaryota; Metazoa; Chordata; Actinopteri; Cypriniformes; Cyprinidae.
CUGAGAGCAGAACAGAACAGAAUCUUCAUCAUCACACAAGACAAAACAACAACAAUGAACAACAUCAUCAUCCUCAUCUGGACACUCACACUGUUUGCUCAAGAGUGUAGAGGACAGAUCACUGUAACUCAGAGUCCAUCAUCAAUAACAGCAGCUCAAGGACAAGAAGUCAGAAUAAACUGUAAAACCAACAGUAGAGUGGAUGAAGGUAAUGACUUAGCCUGGUACUUACAGAAACCUGGAGAAGCUCCUAAACUCCUCAUAUAUGAUGCAACAAGCCGUUACACUGGAACUCCAUCUAGAUUCAGUGGCAGUGGAUCUGACAGUGAUUUCACUCUGACCAUCAGUGGAGUCCAGACUGAAGAUACAGGAGAUUAUUACUGUCUGAGUGAACACUGGAUCAACAGUAAAGGUGUGUUCACACAGUGAUAAAGAGUCGUACAAAAACCUCCAUCAGUCAGAGUCACAGUGACUGCACUGAUACAGAUGAGAGAAACUGCAGCUGCUGAUGGGAGGAUGACAAACAAGACAAAAAGUAUAGCAAAAAUGUAAGAGAUAUAAUGCAGUAUUUAUUUACUUACUUACUUACUUACUUACUAUACUUAUUUAAUACACACAUACAGCUCAUCAUAUUAUUGUUCAUUCACUUUAUGGCCAUUAUAAAUUGUAGCAAGUAUUUAUUUGUCUUGUGUGUCUAAAGAAGCAAAUGGAAGAACUAUCAAACAAAACACAUACUGAGGCAUGAUAUGUAAUAUUACAUGACAGUUUGCACUUUAAGAACUAUGAAUAAAAUG